This 546-nucleotide long non-coding RNA is filed under the name Homo sapiens (human). RNAcentral describes it as "long intergenic non-protein coding RNA 1198". Lineage: Eukaryota; Metazoa; Chordata; Mammalia; Primates; Hominidae. The record is from RNAcentral.
GAGAAUUCUCUCGCCUGCCUUCGGCCCUUAGGCUCCGGGAGAUUGCAAAUAACCUGCUUUCUUUCUGUUCCCAGGUGGCGUCGGACCCCUGUCAGAGAGUAAAUCUCAAGUAAGGUACCUGCCAUCGGCAGAUUUGAGCUUUCUUCUUGGACACCUAAUACCCACAGUCCUCCAGUAAAUCCCAAGUAAGGUACCUGCCCUCGGCAGAUUUGAGCUUUCUUCUUGGACACCUAAUACCCACAGUCCUCCAGGAUAACUUCAGGAAGUGGGUAUUAAUUCUCACGGUAUAAGUGAAGACAUUAAGCACCAGAGUUUAAGUAGCUUGAUCCACUGAAAGAGAUUCAACUGUGUGGAACCUAUGCCGUGGAGAAUUGCUUUCUGCCAUUGUUAUCGUCCAGCAGUUGCCGAAUAGCUCUGACCUGAGCAAAGCAGUGAAACGCGGUGCUGUUGAGUGGGUUGCCACUGCACCUUUUUCAACUACUCUAGUCUUGUGGAGAAAAUACCCCUUCUAAAUUUUUUCUUCAUUGAAUACUCUCCCUCAGCUCC